GACGAACGCUGGCGGCGUGCUUAACACAUGCAAGUCGAACGGAAAGGCCCUGCUUGCAGGGUACUCGAGUGGCGAACGGGUGAGUAACACGUGAGUGAUCUGCCCUGCACUUCGGGAUAAGCCUGGGAAACUGGGUCUAAUACCGGAUAGGAGCCAUUUUUAGUGUGAUGGUUGGAAAGUUUUUUCGGUGUAGGAUGAGCUCGCGGCCUAUCAGCUUGUUGGUGGGGUAAUGGCCUACCAAGGCGGCGACGGGUAGCCGGCCUGAGAGGGUGGACGGCCACAUUGGGACUGAGAUACGGCCCAGACUCCUACGGGAGGCAGCAGUGGGGAAUAUUGCACAAUGGGCGCAAGCCUGAUGCAGCGACGCCGCGUGUGGGAUGACGGCCUUCGGGUUGUAAACUCCUUUCGCUAGGGACGAAGCUUUUGUGACGGUACCUAGAUAAGAAGCACCGGCUAACUACGUG
RNAcentral lists this ribosomal RNA (464 nucleotides) under uncultured bacterium. Its description in RNAcentral is "partial 16S ribosomal RNA". It matches the Rfam family "Bacterial small subunit ribosomal RNA", at positions 28 to 507 of the family's 1533-position model. The record is from RNAcentral.